UCGAGCGAAUCUUAAGGUGCUUGCACCUUUUGGUUAGCGGCGGACGGGUGAGUAACACGUGGGCAACCUGCCUGUAAGACUGGGAUAACUUCGGGAAACCGGAGCUAAUACCGGAUAAUCCUUUUCCUCUCAUGAGGAAAAGCUGAAAGUCGGUUUCGGCUGACACUUACAGAUGGGCCCGCGGCGCAUUAGCUAGUUGGUGAGGUAACGGCUCACCAAGGCGACGAUGCGUAGCCGACCUGAGAGGGUGAUCGGCCACACUGGGACUGAGACACGGCCCAGACUCCUACGGGAGGCAGCAGUAGGGAAUCUUCCGCAAUGGACGAAAGUCUGACGGAGCAACGCCGCGUGAGCGAUGAAGGCCUUCGGGUCGUAAAGCUCUGUUGUUAGGGAAGAACAAGUAUCGGAGUAACUGCCGGUACCUUGACGGUACCUAACCAGAAAGCCACGGCUAACUACGUGCCAGCAGCCGCGGUAAUACGUAGGUGGCAAGCGUUGUCCGGAAUUAUUGGGCGUAAAGCGCGCGCAGGCGGUCCUUUAAGUCUGAUGUGAAAGCCCACGGCUCAACCGUGGAGGGUCAUUGGAAACUGGGGGACUUGAGUACAGAAGAGGAAAGCGGAAUUCCACGUGUAGCGGUGAAAUGCGUAGAGAUGUGGAGGAACACCAGUGGCGAAGGCGGCUUUCUGGUCUGUAACUGACGCUAAGGCGCGAAAGCGUGGGGGAGCAAACAGGAUUAGAUACCCUGGUAGUCCACCGCCGUAAACGAUGAGUGCUAAGUGUUAAGAAGGGUUUCCGCCCUUU
This 801-nucleotide ribosomal RNA is filed under the name Neobacillus niacini. RNAcentral describes it as "bacterial SSU rRNA". It matches the Rfam family "Bacterial small subunit ribosomal RNA", at positions 62 to 841 of the family's 1533-position model. The record is from RNAcentral. Lineage: Bacteria; Bacillati; Bacillota; Bacilli; Caryophanales; Bacillaceae.